Long non-coding RNA from Folsomia candida, 868 nucleotides. RefSeq lists it as uncharacterized. Lineage: Eukaryota; Metazoa; Arthropoda; Collembola; Entomobryomorpha; Isotomidae. The transcript has 3 exons. The record is from RefSeq and is a predicted model, not a curated record.
UAUUACCAUUUUUACUACCCUGACAAGGUAACAACCUCUGUCUCUCAUUAGGUAAUAAAUUUGUCACCAAAAUUGUCAACAUUGGAAGUGACAAACAGUAUAUCCUAUCCGGAAAUAAUUUAUUUCCUUCGAGGAAAUAAUUUCGUCUCCAAAAUCAUUUCCAAUAGGUGACAAUUUGUCUCCUUAAAGCCCAGCGCAAACUUUAGUCACUAAAGUUUAGUGGCAGUUAAGUUUUCUCUCACAAACGUUUCUCUCUCGCACCUGGCAGAAUAAAGAAAAUUGUUCGAGUUUUGCAUCUUACCAGAGGAAAAAAUUAGUAAUUAGAGGUUCAAGUUAUGGAUUACCCUACAUUUCAGGUAAAUAAUUUUAAUUCAUUGUUCAUAUUAUGCUUUUGCUGUAAUUUUAUUGUUUUUUGUCCUAUAAAUAUUUACACUAAAACAAGUUUUUUGUAGAUCCGGAUGCGCAAAUUUCGUUCAAAGAUGAAUUUGGCGCAGAUUGAGAUGAAGAUAUUUUCGCAAUUUUACUGCAAUAACAUUUCAUCUCUAACGUUGCGUGUUCCACGGAACUCUUCGUGGAAGACGUUUUUAUGUUGACGCUUCAUUUCUGUUGGCCGUAAUUAGACCAGUUGGUCUAAUUUGAAUUCAUAACCAGCGUCAAAUUCAAAGAAAUGAUCGAAAUGCCAAAUUAUAAACAGGUGACAGAUAACGUAAAUCUUCAGCAGCGAGCCAGCUAGUACGAGGAUCAAUUUUCACUAACAUUAUAAGUAAUAUAAGUAUGUACAUAUAUAUAUAAGCCUGCACAAUUUAAUUUUUAUAUUUUUAAGUGUAUGUACGUAGUAUGUAGAGACAUGCGAAGAAAUUUAAUCUCU